AAGUCGUAACAAGGUUUCCGUAGGUGAACCUGCGGAAGGAACAUUAACACGUACCCAACGUAAAUGAUCAUUAACACGUAUCCAACGUAAAAAACCCCCCUGUGAACAUUCAAACCUGCUCUCGUAGCCCAGUGCGAUCCAGCAAUCCCGGUAAAUCAUUGUCGAACAGUAUUGAUUCGGGACUUCUGACAAAUGAGAAGUUACAGUUACGAUUGAGCGGAGAUAGCUGCAUGGCAUCCCGAAGCAGUCAGUGUCUGAAAGUGUCAUUGAUUGUCUAAGGAUCUCGCCUCAACGAUUGCCAGAGGUCGCUCACCGACCGGCAGACAUGCAACCGGGUCCCCACGCCCCUUUACAACCCCAUUACCUCUGUGAGUCGCGGGAAACUAGCGGCUAAAAAACCUCGAACAACUGUUAACAAUGGAUAUCUUGGUUCUC
This 435-nucleotide unclassified non-coding RNA is filed under the name fungal sp. Its description in RNAcentral is "partial internal transcribed spacer region". The stretch from base 1 to 46 matches the Rfam family "Eukaryotic small subunit ribosomal RNA", at positions 1786 to 1831 of the family's 1831-position model. Lineage: Eukaryota; Fungi. The record is from RNAcentral.